RNAcentral lists this RNase P RNA (385 nucleotides) under Streptococcus pluranimalium. RNAcentral's name for it is "RNaseP RNA a". It matches the Rfam family "Bacterial RNase P class B". From Rfam's summary of the family: Ribonuclease P (RNase P) is a ubiquitous endoribonuclease, found in archaea, bacteria and eukarya as well as chloroplasts and mitochondria. The record is from RNAcentral. Lineage: Bacteria; Bacillati; Bacillota; Bacilli; Lactobacillales; Streptococcaceae.
UGUGAUUUUCGGAUAAUCGCGUAGUAUUUUGAUACUAUGAGGAAAGUCCAUGCUAGCACUGGCUGUGAUGCCGGUAGUGUUUGUGCUAGGCGAAAAAAUAAGCCUAGGGACGUAUGAUGAUACGUUACGGCAGGUAAAAUGGCUAAGUCCUUGAUAUGCCAUAGUAACCUUGAAAGUGCCACAGUGACGAAGUUUCUAGGGAAACCUAGAAAGUGGAACGCGGUAAACCCCUCAAGCUAGCAACCCAAACUUUGGUCGGGGCAUGAGAUAGCUGGAAGACGAACAGAACUAUCUUGACUGCAACAGCAGUAGACAGAUGAUUAUCGAGGAAGUUGGUUCCUAGUCAACUUCUGAACAAAACAUGGCUUAUAGAAAAUUACAUAAU